GUGUCCACAUGGUGGCGCCGUUGAGCUUAAUUUGCUGAUAACACUCUCUCCUUCCCUCUGCUCUUUCUUUCUUUGCUGCCUACAACAGUACAGUACACUCUCGUAGUGGCAGCAACCAGCACAAGCGUGUGCAGUGCCUCCUCGUAGCUUAGGCUCUCAAUAAAACUGGCCAUUUAUCAUCAAUCAUGGCCGCCGGAGUACAGAUUUAACUCUCCGUCUUCUCCUCCCUAUCGACUUUUAACAGGAGUAGGGGGGAUUUCUGUUUGAAGAAGACGAAAGAUUAUUGUUGGCCCCACACGGAUUUGGAUUUCCUCCAGGAAUUACAGUACAUCUCACAAGGGAAAUACCAUUCAUGUCAAAUCUCCAACAUGCAGCCGCCGCCGAGGAAGGUCAAAGUGACACAGGAGCUAAAAAACACUCACACGGAGCAGAUGACAAGGCUGCACUUUAAACAUCAAACCGAAUGUGACCUGCUGGAAGACAUGAGGAGCUACAGUUUGAAGAAAGGACAGCUGGAGAGGGACUAUGCACAGGUAAGACUGGCAGGACUCCUCUUAAAUAGAGAGACCUACCUUAGUAGCUGUUAAGGAAUCGUGUCAGAUCAUGUUUACAACCAUAUUAAUACUAUCGGAAGAUAUUGCUAUUUUGUAGGGGUGCACCGAUUGCAGUUUUCUAGACGACCACCCAUUACCGGUCUUUUCAAAGCCCGAUCUGCUGAUUCCGAUUUUGGCCGAUAAGAUCAGUGGAUGAGGAAGUACAGGCCGAUCACCGAUCUUCCAAAAUUAUGGAAGUUGGAGAGGAUUUAUCGGUGCACACCCACUAUUUUGUAAUAGAUGAUCUGUGGAAUGUGUCACAAAUU
Molecule: long non-coding RNA, 859 nt
Organism: Poecilia latipinna (sailfin molly)
Lineage: Eukaryota; Metazoa; Chordata; Actinopteri; Cyprinodontiformes; Poeciliidae
Exons: 3
Source: RefSeq, a predicted model, not a curated record